CUCCUAUCUCUUCUCCUUCCACCGCUGGUAGCCGCCGCCUCUCUCCGUCUCCCCGCAGCGGAGCAUCAACGCCGCCAACAUCUAUUCACCGUCGCUGAUAUAGCAUUUCAUAAUCAAAUCUUCUUCUUCAGUUCUUGGGGCAUUGCUUAAAAACUGUUAAAAUAUUAUAUUUGUUUGAGCAAAUAUGAAUUGAAAUAGUAAUACGGAUAAGAACAAAUAUACUAUUUUCUUGUUUU
This 236-nucleotide long non-coding RNA is filed under the name Erythranthe guttata (spotted monkey flower). RNAcentral's name for it is "long non-coding RNA (EGUT_LNC000353)". Lineage: Eukaryota; Viridiplantae; Streptophyta; Magnoliopsida; Lamiales; Phrymaceae. The record is from RNAcentral.